CAGCAGCCGCGGUAAUACGAGGGGUGCAAGCGUUAUUCGGAUUGAUUGGGUGUAAAGGGUGUGCAGACGGCUUAUUAAGUCACUUGUUAAAUUCUUCGGCCUAACUGAAGGUCUGCAAGUGAUACUGAUGAGCUAGAGGGUGGAAGAGAGAAGUGGAAUUCUCGGAGUAGCGGUAAAAUGCGUAGAUCUCGAGAGGAACACCAAUGGCGAAGGCAGCUCCUUGGUCCAUUCCUGACGUUCAUACACGAAAGCGUGGGGAGCGAACAGGAUUAGAUACCCCAGUAGUCCCUGUCUCUUAUAC
This 301-nucleotide ribosomal RNA is filed under the name uncultured bacterium. RNAcentral's name for it is "partial 16S ribosomal RNA". It matches the Rfam family "Bacterial small subunit ribosomal RNA", at positions 509 to 807 of the family's 1533-position model. The record is from RNAcentral.